UUGGAGGGCAAGUCUGGUGCCAGCAGCCGCGGUAAUUCCAGCUCCAAUAGCGUAUAUUAAAGUUGCUGCAGUUAAAAAGCUCGUAGUUGAAUUUCGGAACCAAUAUGUUGGUUGUGCCUCGGUACGUACUGGCAUUGUUGGUUUCUCCCUUCUGACGAACUAUGAUGUCAUUAAUUUGGUGUCAUGGGGAAUCAGGACUGUUACUUUGAAAAAAUUAGAGUGUUUAAAGCAGGCUCACGCUUGAAUACAUUAGCAUGGAAUAAUGAAAUAGGACGUUUGAUUCUAUUUUGUUGGUUUCUAGGAUUGACGUAAUGAUUAAUAGGGAUAGUUGGGGGCAUUAGUAUUCAAUUGUCAGAGGUGAAAUUCUUGGAUUUAUUGAAGACUAACUACUGCGAAAGCAUUUGCCAAGGAUGUUUUCAUUAAUCAAGAACGAAAGUUAGGGGAUCGAAGACGAUCAGAUACCGUCGUAGUCUUAACCAUAAACUAUGCCGACUAGGGAUCGGAUGAUGUUAAUUUUUUAAUGACUCAUUCGGCACCUUACGGGAAAC
This 548-nucleotide ribosomal RNA is filed under the name uncultured Glomus. RNAcentral's name for it is "SSU rRNA". It matches the Rfam family "Eukaryotic small subunit ribosomal RNA", at positions 548 to 1098 of the family's 1831-position model. The record is from RNAcentral. Lineage: Eukaryota; Fungi; Glomeromycota; Glomeromycetes; Glomerales; Glomeraceae.